AAACAAUAUUUAAAAUCCUAGGGCUAAGGUCCUACCAGUGUCUCAACUAGUUGGUGAGUGGUGACAAUCACAAGGUCCAAAAUUUACUCCUACUGUUGUGAUAGAAAACGACAAGUAACAGGUGGAAGGUCCUGGAAAGUGAAAACUUAGGUGCCUGUUUAUAAACAGAUCAUAAGAUCAGCCCCACAAUAUCUAUUCUUCAUCUUUAUCCAUGGCUUCCUCAUCAUACAGGAAAUAUGAAACCCGAAAGCGAAAUCCAGACCCGAAAUCUGCGGUUCUUUUAGUGAUAGAUAUGCAGAACUACUUCUACUCCAUGGCCAAGCCUAUUCUCCCCGCUAUCAACACUACCAUCGACCUCUGCCGACAGGCUUCCGUGCCUGUGAUAUUCACGCGCCACCGUCACAAGUCACCGGAUGACUACGGCAUGCUCUACGAGUGGUGGAACGGAGACAUCAUUAAAGACGGCACCGUUGAGGCUGAACUCAUACCGGAGUUGGACCGAAGAGAAAGCGACUUGGUGGUGGAAAAACACACUUACAGUGCCUUCAUAGAUACAAACCUAGAGGAGAAACUGUUGGAGAUGGGGAAAAAGGAGGUAAUAGUGAGUGGAGUAAUGACCAACCUGUGUUGUGAGACAACAGCCAGAGAGGCAUUUGUUAGAGGAUUCAGAGUCUUCUUUUCGACAGAUGCUACUGCUACUUCCUCAGCAGAAUUGCAUGAUGCUACACUGAAGAACUUAGCAUAUGGUUUCACUUAUUUGGUUGACUGCAAAAGGAUUCAAUCUGCGUUUUCAAAUUCCUGAGCACUCAGGUAUCAAAUAGCUAUUAGAAAAUUUUGUGAAUUAGCACAGCGGCAAGAUUUCUGGGAAGUUGCGAAAAAAAGAAAAAAGAAAAAAAAGAGAUCGUGAAUAACUAUAGCCAUUGGUUUACUCUCUCUUUAAGACUUUACUUGUUUACCAUAGUUAUUGAGUUAUAGAUUAGUUGCUGACUAGUAAUGUUAUUGAUGAGAUCCUAAUGGCCAGAGGCGAAUUCAGAAUUUCUAGCGGAUGGGUGCACUGUUGUGAAGAGGUAAUAUCGUAACUAAAGAUACUAGCGGGAGAGGAACCGUGGAGAAGCACUUUAACGUGUAAAGAUUUUGGAAUAAGUAGAUGUAAGACAGAAUAAAUACAUGACAAGUUUAUCCCGUCCGUCCACAGGUGGCAAACAAGUUGUUUGGGCUAAAGUUGGGCGGAUCAAGUUGGACCGAGUAAAUAUAUAGGCUAAUGCCCAAUCAUGCCCAAAAUUCAUUUGGGUCAAGAUGAGCUAAACAAUAGGUCGUAACCCAAUCCGCCCAAUUUGACCCAAGUCUUCAUAAUAUUCUCAACUUUUAAAGAAGGAGAAAUUUCAUAACUACCUAUGAAAUUAUAAAUUA
Molecule: non-coding RNA, 1410 nt
Organism: Nicotiana tabacum (common tobacco)
Lineage: Eukaryota; Viridiplantae; Streptophyta; Magnoliopsida; Solanales; Solanaceae
Source: RefSeq, a predicted model, not a curated record